Molecule: signal recognition particle RNA, 89 nt
Filed under: Rickettsiales bacterium
Lineage: Bacteria; Pseudomonadati; Pseudomonadota; Alphaproteobacteria; Rickettsiales
Description: signal recognition particle sRNA small type
Rfam family: Bacterial small signal recognition particle RNA
About the family: The signal recognition particle (SRP) is a universally conserved ribonucleoprotein involved in the co-translational targeting of proteins to membranes.
Source: RNAcentral
UUGCCAGAGUGGACAACUAAUUUAUGAAUCCGGUCAGGUCUGAAAGGAAGCAGCCGCAAUAAACUUAUGUUGGGUCGCUCUGGUUUUUU